Molecule: ribosomal RNA, 465 nt
Filed under: uncultured bacterium
Lineage: Bacteria
Description: partial 16S ribosomal RNA
Rfam family: Bacterial small subunit ribosomal RNA
Source: RNAcentral
GACGAACGCUGGCGGCGUGCUUAACACAUGCCAGUCGUACGGUAAGGCCCUUUCGGGGGUACACGAGUGGCGAACGGGUGAGUAACACGUGAGUAACCUGCCCACAACUUUGGGAUAACGCUAGGAAACUGGUGCUAAUACUGGAUAUGUGCUCCUGCUGCAUGGUGGGGGUUGGAAAGCUCCGGCGGUUGUGGAUGGACUCGCGGCCUAUCAGCUUGUUGGUGGGGUAGUGGCCUACCAAGGCGGCGACGGGUAGCCGGCCUGAGAGGGUGACCGGCCACAUUGGGACUGGGAUACGGCCCAGACUCCUACGGGAGGCAGCAGUGGGGAAUAUUGCACAAUGGGCGCAAGCCUGAUGCAGCAACGCCGCGUGCGGGAUGACGGCCUUCGGGUUGUAAACCGCUUUCAGCAGGGACGAAGCUUUUUGUGACGGUACCUGCAGAAGAAGCACCGGCUAACUACGUG